RNAcentral lists this long non-coding RNA (755 nucleotides) under Homo sapiens (human). Its description in RNAcentral is "non-protein coding GNA14-AS1:4". Lineage: Eukaryota; Metazoa; Chordata; Mammalia; Primates; Hominidae. The record is from RNAcentral.
AGGAAAGAGUGGGGACAGUUGGCUGCCUGUGCAACUCUCCAGACUAGAAAGAGACCAUUACACAUGUUGUAAAGCCCAGAGGAAUAGUUUUCUGCACAUCUUGCCUGGCAAGUGCUCUUCUACAAUGUAAAACAAACUUCUCUGAAGUACAGAACUUGGUAAUAGCUAAACCCCGCUUGAAAGUAGAAAACGAAGUUCCAGAAAUAGAAGAAGGGCUUGGAAACAAUAUAAAGUGCCAAAAAAGAGGUAUCAUCAGCAGGAAGAGGGUGAGGACGCACCUGGAAGCCACACACAUUGGAGGACACAGGUUCUUCACUGCAAGUCUGUAAGCCCAAUAAAAGAAGCUUUGGUGAAAAAGGUAGCCUGUUCAGGACACAGCAGAAUGUGAUUUUUCACUUCUGAAGAAAGGGAAAUUUGGACACAGAACCAGAGAGGACAGUGCUGUGGACACGCAGACACAGGGAAGAAGCCAGGCGAAGGCAGAGGCAGAGGCUGGAGGCAAGCAUCUACAAGCCAACGGACGGCAAGGAUUUCCAGCCACCACCAGAAGCUGGGGAAGAAGCCGACAACAGAUUCUCUCAGAGCCUCCAGUUAGAACCAAUCAACCUUGGUUUUGGCCCUUUAGCAUGACAAACUGUAAAAACAAUAAAUUCUGUCUUAGGCCAUCCAAUCUUAAGUACUUUGUUAUAACAGCCCUAGGAAACUAACACAGAUUAGGGGGCAAACGGAGAUGGCCUAGACAAAAUAAUUAAGGU